GAUGAACGCUGGCGGCGUGCCUAAUACAUGCAGGUCGAGCGAACAGACGAGGAGCUUGCUCCUCUGACGUUAGCGGCGGACGGGUGAGUAACACGUGGAUAACCUACCUAUAAGACUGGGAUAACUUCGGGAAACCGGAGCUAAUACCGGAUAAUAUAUUGAACCGCAUGGUUCAAUAGUGAAAGACGGUUUUGCUGUCACUUAUAGAUGGAUCCGCGCCGCAUUAGCUAGUUGGUAAGGUAACGGCUUACCAAGGCGACGAUGCGUAGCCGACCUGAGAGGGUGAUCGGCCACACUGGAACUGAGACACGGUCCAGACUCCUACGGGAGGCAGCAGUAGGGAAUCUUCCGCAAUGGGCGAAAGCCUGACGGAGCAACGCCGCGUGAGUGAUGAAGGUCUUCGGAUCGUAAAACUCUGUUAUUAGGGAAGAACAAAUGUGUAAGUAACUAUGCACGUCUUGACGGUACCUAAUCAGAAAGCCACGGCUAACUACGU
This 496-nucleotide ribosomal RNA is filed under the name uncultured bacterium. RNAcentral describes it as "partial 16S ribosomal RNA". It matches the Rfam family "Bacterial small subunit ribosomal RNA", at positions 28 to 506 of the family's 1533-position model. The record is from RNAcentral.